RNAcentral lists this small RNA (49 nucleotides) under Arabidopsis thaliana (thale cress). RNAcentral's name for it is "ATSL272080". The record is from RNAcentral. Lineage: Eukaryota; Viridiplantae; Streptophyta; Magnoliopsida; Brassicales; Brassicaceae.
UUGUUUGCUUCAAUCAAUAUGUCUGAGUAGUCUGCUUGUUAGGAAUAUG